RNAcentral lists this ribosomal RNA (292 nucleotides) under uncultured bacterium. Its description in RNAcentral is "partial 16S ribosomal RNA". It matches the Rfam family "Bacterial small subunit ribosomal RNA", at positions 505 to 796 of the family's 1533-position model. The record is from RNAcentral.
GUGACAGCCGCCGCGGUAAUACAGAGGGUGCAAACGUUGCUCGGAAUUAUUGGGCGUAAAGCGCGCGUAGGUGGUCUGAUAAGUCGGGUGUGAAAGCCCUCGGCUUAACCGAGGAAGUGCAUUCGAAACUGUCAGACUUGAGUACUGAAGAGGAUCGCGGAAUUCCCGGUGUAGAGGUGAAAUUCGUAGAUAUCGGGAGGAACACCAGUGGCGAAGGCGGCGAUCUGGGCAGAUACUGACACUGAGGCGCGAAAGCGUGGGGAGCAAACAGGAUUAGAUACCCUGGUAGUCC